This 447-nucleotide ribosomal RNA is filed under the name uncultured bacterium. Its description in RNAcentral is "bacterial SSU rRNA". It matches the Rfam family "Bacterial small subunit ribosomal RNA", at positions 328 to 792 of the family's 1533-position model. The record is from RNAcentral.
GGGCCAGACUCCUACGGGAGGCAGCAGUGGGGAAUAUUGCACAAUGGGGGGAACCCUGAUGCAGCGACGCCGCGUGAGUGAAGAAGUAUUUCGGUAUGUAAAGCUCUAUCAGCAGGGAAGAAGAUGACGGUACCUGACUAAGAAGCCCCGGCUAACUACGUGCCAGCAGCCGCGGUAAUACGUAGGGGGCAAGCGUUAUCCGGAUUUACUGGGUGUAAAGGGAGCGUAGACGGCAGGGCAAGUCUGGAGUGAAAGCCCGGGGCCCAACCCCGGGACUGCUUUGGAAACUGCCAUGCUGGAGUGCUGGAGAGGUAAGCGGAAUUCCUAGUGUAGCGGUGAAAUGCGUAGAUAUUAGGAGGAACACCAGUGGCGAAGGCGGCUUACUGGACUGUAACUGACGUUGAGGCUCGAAAGCGUGGGGAGCAAACAGGAUUAGAUACCCUAGUA